AUUUUAUGCCUCCUCCUUACCCACGUCUCCCCACCCUUCUAUCUUUAUCUCUCUGAUCUCCAGCCAAAUCACGUCUCACCUCCAUCCCUCUUUAUCUCUCUCUCUCUCUCUCUCCCUGUUCUUCUUCUUCCCGAAACUGCUCUCCUUCAACCACAGAUUUGGUUUCGUCUCCAUCCCUAUAUUCAGUUCCGUCUAGCUGUGCUUCAACCGCUCAGAUUUCUGAGGUUACGAUUUCAGAGGUUGCGAUUUCAUCGCUCAGAUUUUCUGAUUAUCUGAAAAUCACCAAGUCGACCAUUUUUUUUCUUGAAAGGCUUGCGGAGAUACCAGAAAACAGAGUUUCUGCAAAGCAUUACGGUUAAUUUUCAGGUUAAAUUCUUUCAGGCACGGGCAUACGCUAGUA
Camellia sinensis is the source of this 400-nucleotide non-coding RNA. NCBI's taxonomy places the organism in Eukaryota, Viridiplantae, Streptophyta, Magnoliopsida, Ericales, Theaceae. The record is from RefSeq and is a predicted model, not a curated record.